UUUUAUUUUGCAAAAUCAACCAUUCAAGAUUUAACAACAAGGUCCUUCCAUUCUAUUAAACCCUUCUUCAUAUUUGUCAACUACUACAUGGACAAGUAUCUGAUAACCUUUUUAAUUAUUUGUUUUGCUUCGGUGUUAGUUGCAGAACGAAUAAAAAUAUGUUUUCCAUCUACUGAUUGCCCUACGACUCCAGAGCUAUGUCAAAAAUUUUGUAAGAAUACACUUGGUGCUAUUGGUGGAUUUUGUAGAAAGGGAGAGGGUACAUGUUGUUGUAAUAAGACAUGAGAGAAGUUUUAUAAUAAUAUAGAACAAACAGGAAUAUACUUUCCAUCGAAAUAUUGUCCAACUGCACCAGAGUUAUGCGAUCACUUUUGUAAAAUUACAAUCAGAGCUAUUGGUGGAUGUUGUGGAAAUUAUGGGGAGGGCGCAUGCUGUUGUAUUAAGACAUGAGAAAAGUUUUAAAAUAGUAUUGGUAGCAUCUCUAAAAUUAUAAUAUUGUAAUUGAACAACGGCGAGUUCUUUUUAUUUAUAAUUAUGAGUUUGAUUCAGUGAAUUAAUGAUUUUAAAAUAUUAUAAAAUGUUUGAAUAUGAAGCAUAAUUUAAUUGAAA
Molecule: long non-coding RNA, 609 nt
Organism: Vicia villosa (hairy vetch)
Lineage: Eukaryota; Viridiplantae; Streptophyta; Magnoliopsida; Fabales; Fabaceae
Exons: 4
Source: RefSeq, a predicted model, not a curated record